Molecule: non-coding RNA, 110 nt
Organism: Triticum aestivum (bread wheat)
Lineage: Eukaryota; Viridiplantae; Streptophyta; Magnoliopsida; Poales; Poaceae
Source: Rfam
AGGAGCCGUGCAAGAUGAAAGUCUCAUGCACGGUUUUGCCUUCGAGGGAUUUUUAGGAUCAUUCAGGCUAUAUAUAUUUAGUUUAUUUUGGCUUUUACUGUCUAUUUUGC